AUGACUUAUGCCGUUUUUCAACAGGCCACUCCAGAAACAACUCGACUGUGUACGGGACUCCGGGGGAGUGAGGCAACGCUGUGGGGAAACAGCACAAAAUUUGUUUGCCAAUCUCUCCGGGGUGUUUCUUGGACACUGGUGCCUUAAUUCUGCGUCAAGCUUGUCACAAAUGCCAUUCAUUCUGAAGAUUUUCUUCGCCCUACUUCCGUUGCUACCAGUCAUUUCCCAGCUCACUCGCCAAUAAACUCUGAUAAGCGAUGCAUGUAACAGCUAAGCUUAAUCUCAAACAGUAUGAGGACUAGCAGAUAUCAUUGUUGAAUUAAUAAUACAGGCUUUAAUCAGACAAAGGUUCAUAAUAAUAGAUAGAAAUUAUGCAACUAUUUGAAAGGUGGAAUUUUCACACCAUGGAAUGUAUUUACGUUAAUCACCAUCCCCUCUUCUACAACAUGGGGUAAUCCAAAUAUUUUUUGAAUAAAUUUACUCCAAUUCCC
Long non-coding RNA from Frankliniella occidentalis (western flower thrips), 491 nucleotides. RefSeq lists it as uncharacterized. The record is from RefSeq and is a predicted model, not a curated record. Lineage: Eukaryota; Metazoa; Arthropoda; Insecta; Thysanoptera; Thripidae. The transcript has 2 exons.